AAUUGGAGGGCAAGUCUGGUGCCAGCAGCCGCGGUAAUUCCAGCUCCAAUAGCGUAUAUUAAAGUUGUUGCAGUUAAAAAGCUCGUAGUUGAAUUUCGGGGUCAGUAGGUUGGUCGUGCCACAGGUAUGAACUGGUCUCACUGAUUCCUCCUUCCUGAUGAACCGUAAUGCCAUUAAUUUGGUGUUGCGGGGAGACUGGACUGUUACUUUGAAAAAAUUAGAGUGUUUAAAGCAGGCUAACGCUUGAAUACAUUAGCAUGGAAUAAUGAAAUAGGACGUUCGAUCUUAUUUUGUUGGUUUCUAGGAUUGACGUAAUGAUUAAUAGGGAUAGUUGGGGGCAUUAGUAUUCAAUUGUCAGAGGUGAAAUUCUUGGAUUUAUUGAAGACUAACUACUGCGAAAGCAUUUGCCAAGGAUGUUUUCAUUAAUCAAGAACGAAAGUUAGGGGAUCGAAGACGAUCAGAUACCGUCGUAGUCUUAACCAUAAACUAUGCCGACUAGGGAUCGGAUGAUGUUAAUUUUUUAAUGACUCAUUCGGCGCCUUACGGGAAACCAAAGUGU
This 559-nucleotide ribosomal RNA is filed under the name uncultured Glomus. Its description in RNAcentral is "SSU rRNA". It matches the Rfam family "Eukaryotic small subunit ribosomal RNA", at positions 546 to 1106 of the family's 1831-position model. Lineage: Eukaryota; Fungi; Glomeromycota; Glomeromycetes; Glomerales; Glomeraceae. The record is from RNAcentral.